GAAUCUUCCGCAAUGGACGCAAGUCUGACGGAGCAACGCCGCGUGAGUGAAGAAGGUUUUCGGAUCGUAAAACUCUGUUGUCGGAGAAGAACACGUAAGCGAGUAACUGCGCUUACCAUGACGGUCCCCGACCAGAAAGCCACGGCUAACUACGUGCCCGCAGCCGCGGUAAUACGUAGGUGGCAAGCGUUGGCCGGAUUUAUUGGGCGUAAAGCGAGCGCAGGCGGUUCUUUAAGUCUGAUGUGAAAGCCCACGGCUCAACCGUGGAAGGUCAUUGGAAACUGGGGAACUUGAAUGCAGAAGAGGAGAGUGGAAUUCCAUGUGUAGCGGUGAAAUGCGUAGAUAUAUGGAGGAACACCAGUGGCGAAGGCGACUCUCUGGUCUGUUAUUGACGCUGAGGCUCGAAAGCGUGGGGAGCAAAC
This 422-nucleotide ribosomal RNA is filed under the name uncultured bacterium. RNAcentral's name for it is "bacterial SSU rRNA". It matches the Rfam family "Bacterial small subunit ribosomal RNA", at positions 359 to 773 of the family's 1533-position model. The record is from RNAcentral.